Molecule: ribosomal RNA, 1121 nt
Filed under: Oenococcus oeni
Lineage: Bacteria; Bacillati; Bacillota; Bacilli; Lactobacillales; Lactobacillaceae
Description: bacterial SSU rRNA
Rfam family: Bacterial small subunit ribosomal RNA
Source: RNAcentral
UUUAAAUUGAGAGUUUGAUCCUGGCUCAGGAUGAACGCUGGUGGCGUGCCUAAUACAUGCAAGUCGUACGCUAGCCGCUGAAUUGAUCCUUCGGGUGAAGUGAGGCAAUGACUAGAGUGGCGAACUGGUGAGUAACACGUAAGAAACCUGCCCUUUAGUGGGGGAUAACAUUUGGAAACAGAUGCUAAUACCGCGUAACAACAAAUCACACAUGUGAUCUGUUUGAAAGGUCCUUUUGGAUCGCUAGAGGAUGGUCUUGCGGCGUAUUAGCUUGUUGGUAGGGUAGAAGCCUACCAAGGCAAUGAUGCGUAGCCGAGUUGAGAGACUGGCCGGCCACAUUGGGACUGAGACACUGCCCAAACUCCUACGGGAGGCUGCAGUAGGGAAUUUUCCGCAAUGCACGAAAGUGUGACGGAGCGACGCCGCGUGUGUGAUGAAGGCUUUCGGGUCGUAAAGCACUGUUGUAAGGGAAGAAUAACUGAAUUCAGAGAAAGUUUUCAGCUUGACGGUACCUUACCAGAAAGGGAUGGCUAAAUACGUGCCAGCAGCCGCGGUAAUACGUAUGUCCCGAGCGUUAUCCGGAUUUAUUGGGCGUAAAGCGAGCGCAGACGGUUUAUUAAGUCUGAUGUGAAAUCCCGAGGCCCAACCUCGGAACUGCAUUGGAAACUGAUUUACUUGAGUGCGAUAGAGGCAAGUGGAACUCCAUGUGUAGCGGUGAAAUGCGUAGAUAUGUGGAAGAACACCAGUGGCGAAAGCGGCUUGCUAGAUCGUAACUGACGUUGAGGCUCGAAAGUAUGGGUAGCAAACGGGAUUAGAUACCCCGGUAGUCCAUACCGUAAACGAUGGGUGCUAGUUGUUAAGAGGUUUCCGCCUCCUAGUGACGUAGCAAACGCAUUAAGCACCCCGCCUGAGGAGUACGGCCGCAAGGCUAAAACUUAAAGGAAUUGACGGGGACCCGCACAAGCGGUGGAGCAUGUGGUUUAAUUCGAAGAUACGCGAAAAACCUUACCAGGUCUUGACAUACCAAUGAUCGCUUUUGUAAUGAAAGCUUUUCUUCGGAACAUUGGAUACAGGUGGUGCAUGGUCGUCGUCAGCUCGUGUCGUGAGAUGUUGGGUUAAGU